Long non-coding RNA from Canis lupus familiaris (dog), 1486 nucleotides. RefSeq lists it as uncharacterized. NCBI's taxonomy places the organism in Eukaryota, Metazoa, Chordata, Mammalia, Carnivora, Canidae. The transcript has 6 exons. The record is from RefSeq and is a predicted model, not a curated record.
UUAGCCCACAGUCAGCACUCAGCCAGAAUGUCUGCAUAGAGAACAAAGCGGAUUGCCUCGACAAUGGCUGUAUUCUGGGCACGUUGCUAAUGCAGGUAAACACGGCAGGGCCGGGCCUCACUUCUCUGGGGCAAGAAACACCCCAGGACUGGAAGCCACGAGGGCCUCUGAUUGCGUCGUCCACCCGUGCCCUCUUCUGGACGGUUCCCUUCACAAAGAGGAAGCCCAUGAAUGGCCUUUGGUGACCUGAGAAGUGUCAGCCUGCCUUCUUCACGGAGCUCGAGAAUUAGCACGUGCUGAAGGCCAGCAAGCCGAAUCAAAGAAAUUGUCCACUUGGAAGGCACAGGUGCAUUUUCCCAAGGAGGCGUGGUACAGAAUGGUUCCAUCCCUAUGGAGAGAGAAGGGUCAAGAAGAUGGAACAUGACAUCCAGAAGCAGGUGGCUAGAGGAGCUCUACAAGGCACCAUCCAGGAAAGGAACAAGGCAAAGAUUGAGAUGCUCAUAGAAGCCAGAAAAGAAAUCUGCCUGAAAUUCAUAUCAGGAGUUGGAGGGCACCCAACGGUGACAGGGACAACUGCACACAGGGGACCAGGAGGAAAUCAUCACUCUCCUGGCGGAUGGAUGUGGUGCAUCUUAACUUUUCCCCACUCGUGAACUUCACAGAAUCACAGCAAGUUUGAUGGUGCUGUCCGUUGGCUGUUUUCUCCCAGAGUCACUCACUCCUACAUCUGCAUUCAGCGGAGGGUUGGCUGGCUGGAAAAUCCAAGAUGACCUCACUCACACAUCUGGCAGUUACUGCUGGCUGUUAGCUGGGCUUCUUCUGUUCGUCUCCUCCUGGUUUCUCACCCUCCAGUAGGCCUUGGUCUUUCUCAGAGCAUGGCGAUCUCGGGAUUCCAAAGCAUGAAAGUAGAAGCUUCAAAGCCCUAUUAAGAUCUGGCCAUUGAUGUCACCCAAUGCCAUUUCCAUCCUAUGGUCAAUGUCUUCUAAACCCUUCGUGGUUAUCAUGCCGGGUUGUCCACACAAGGCCUCAGCUCCAUGGAAAAGGAACCCACUAAGCUAUUUUUAGGUGCAGGAGCAUCUUGAGGAGGCCAUGGGCUGGAUUCCACCCUCUGCUGCUCCCCAGCUCAAUGACAUCAGCCCAGCAACUCUGUAGGCCACGGUUUUCUUGGGAUGAUGAAACACCACUCUCAGGAUUCAGGAGUGACUUAAAUGAGUUCAGGAAAAAGCUACUUAGCACACCUCCUGCUUCAAGAGAGAGAACGCCUGACGCUCCAACAUAUCCGGUGCCAACCAACAGGCAGCGUUGGCCACCGGCUCCGACGCAUCAAUCCCCUCUCCUCACAAUCGCUCAAAGAAAAGCUUGUCUUCUGCACGGUACAUUAGGCAACUGCAGAAGAAGAUACGAGAAGCUUUGAAAUGCAUUUCCCAAACCGUUCCACAUGAUGUUCCUGGAUGUUUGGUUAAUAAAAUAUUCCAUGGUCAAAUAA